UGGGGAAUAUUGCACAAUGGAGGGAACUCUGAUGCAGCGACGCCGCGUGAACGAAGAAGGCUUUCGAGUCGUAAAGUUCUUUUAUAUGGGAAGAUAAUGACGGUACCAUAAGAAAAAGCCCCGGCUAACUACGUGCCAGCAGCCGCGGUAAUACGUAGGGGGCUAGCGUUGUCCGGAAUCACUGGGCGUAAAGGGUUCGCAGGCGGAAAUGCAAGUCAGGUGUAAAAUGCAGUAGCUUAACUACUGUAAGCAUUUGAAACUGCAUAUCUUGAGUAGAGUAGAGGUAAGUGGAAUUUUUAGUGUAGCGGUGAAAUGCGUAGAUAUUAAAAAGAAUACCCGUGGCGAAGGCGGCUAACUGGGCUCAUUCUGACGCUGAGGAACGAAAGCGUGGGUAGCAAACAGG
This 403-nucleotide ribosomal RNA is filed under the name bacterium. Its description in RNAcentral is "partial 16S ribosomal RNA". It matches the Rfam family "Bacterial small subunit ribosomal RNA", at positions 355 to 776 of the family's 1533-position model. The record is from RNAcentral.